GGAAGACAGAGAAACCAUGGUAACUGUGGAUCAUGCCAGCCUGAACCAAAGCAGACACCAAUCUCAUUAGUGGGCACUUGAUUUCUCUGAUUUUGUAUUUGAAGAACUUGAGAGCAAUGGAAAUCUUUGAAAAUCGGAUGUGGACAACUUGAACCCAAUCUACUUUAUGGCCAUUGUCUCCUGGCACUGGGUUCCAGCUGCUUCUUCUAGGACAAAUUUGAAUCAUUAACUCAGUGCCCAGGUUUGAUUUGUCCUACACUCAGCUGUCUUUGAGGUCACAGUUCGUUAUUGAGGGAAUUCAGAAAGUCCAGCAGGAACUUGAAGCAGAAACCACAGAGGAAUGCUGCCUGCUGACUCACUGCAGACCUAUGCUUAGCUAGCUGUCUUAAACAACUCAGGACCACCUUGCCCAGGGCUUUCCAAUACACGGGCAUUUACUUGGAGGAAAGAUCCACAGAUCUCCCUAGAGAUGGAACAAGAAUGUGAGAAACAGAACGACACCCUCUGCACUCAAGACAAGGAAUGCCUUUGCGAACCACUCAGUGGGUUUUGAAAGCAUCAGGUGACUGGAGAGAGGGCAACUGAAGUAUGGAGCAACUGACCUGCGCUAGAAAUGACCUUGAACUCAGACAUCUAGAAUAGGGUCUGACACACGGUCAUUAUUAACCUUGGUCAGCAUCCCUGGAAAAUGCUCGUGUUUUCACAUGGUUCCACAAAACAAGGCACAAGGGUACUAGGUGUUGGGAUUGUGCUUUGACCUCUCAUUUAUCUAAUAUGUUCACACCCCAUCCUACCUUAUGACAGGCAAUAA
Long non-coding RNA from Mesocricetus auratus (golden hamster), 811 nucleotides. RefSeq lists it as uncharacterized. NCBI's taxonomy places the organism in Eukaryota, Metazoa, Chordata, Mammalia, Rodentia, Cricetidae. The record is from RefSeq and is a predicted model, not a curated record. The transcript is spliced from 4 exons.